This 439-nucleotide ribosomal RNA is filed under the name uncultured bacterium. RNAcentral describes it as "partial 16S ribosomal RNA". It matches the Rfam family "Bacterial small subunit ribosomal RNA", at positions 338 to 795 of the family's 1533-position model. The record is from RNAcentral.
CCUACGGGUGGCAGCAGUGGGGAAUAUUGCACAAUGGGCGAAAGCCUGAUGCAGCAACGCCGCGUGAGCGAUGAAGGCUUUCGGGUCGUAAAGCUCUGUCCUCAAGGAAGAUAAUGACGGUACUAGAGGAGGAAGCCCCGGCUAACUACGUGCUAGCAGCCGCGGUAAUACGUAGGGGGCUAGCGUUAUCCGGCAUUACUGGGGGAAAUGGGGGGGGUGGUGGUUAUUAAAGUCAGUGGGAAAAGAAUACGUCUCAACCGUAGUAAGCCUUUGAAACUGGGGAACUUGAGUGCAGGAGAGGAAAGUGGAAUUCCUAGUGUAGCGGUGAAAUGCGUAGAUAUUAGGAGGAACACCAGUGGCGAAGGCGGCUCUCUGGACUGUAACUGACACUGAGGCACGAAAGCGUGGGGAGCAAACAGGAUUAGAUACCCGUGUAGUC